RNAcentral lists this long non-coding RNA (734 nucleotides) under Homo sapiens (human). RNAcentral describes it as "HSALNT0231806". The record is from RNAcentral. Lineage: Eukaryota; Metazoa; Chordata; Mammalia; Primates; Hominidae.
CCGUGCCUGGCCAAUACCUAUAUUCUUUACCUUAACUUCAAAGACAACAUUAGCUGGUGAAGUCAACUUUGAGACAAAAAAAAAAAAAGCUAGUCACACAAUUUAAAUACACAUCUGUGACAAACAUCAACUGAUUUAAUAAUUUUUAUCACUGGAUGCCAGUGCUUAGUAGAAGGACUCUUCUUACCACCUAAGUGGCAAUACUUUUAAUAUGAUUAUACUUUUUUAUUUUUAUUUUUUCAGACGGAGUUCCACUCUCAUUGCCCAGACUGGAGUGUAAUGGUGUGAUCUUGGCUCACUGCAACCUCCAUCUCCCCGGUUCAGGCGAUUCUCCUGCCUCGGCCACCCGAAUAGCUGGGAUUACAGGUGCCUGCCACCACGCCUGGCUCAUUUUUGUACAUUUAGUAGAGAUGGGGUUUCACCAUGUUCACCAGGCUGGUCUUGAACUCCUGAUCUCAGGUGAUCUGCCCACCUCGGCCUCCCAAAGUGCUGGGAUUACAGGUGUGAGCCACCAUGCCCAGCCUAAUAUUAUACUCUCGAUAACAAUUUUGCUGCAAGAGCAUAAUUAUGAUCGAAUAUUUCCUUUGCAAAUCUAUUUCUCUGAAGUGUGGUAUUAUUAAUUUUGAUUCUUGCCUUUUUAAAAAAGAAACUAAAGACUAUUCUCUCCAUUUCUAUAUUAUUUAUUAGAUUUUUACAUUUUACAUGUUUUUUCAUUUUUCUUGGGGGUAAAUGAA